AGUUAGGUGGCUGAAUAUUAGGCAAUAAAUUGUAAAUUUAUUUAUGGUGUUAAAUCCCCUUACUA
RNAcentral lists this transfer RNA (65 nucleotides) under Sigara septemlineata. RNAcentral's name for it is "tRNA-Tyr". The record is from RNAcentral. Lineage: Eukaryota; Metazoa; Arthropoda; Insecta; Hemiptera; Corixidae.